AGAGAGAAAGAGAGUGAGAGAGAGAGAGAGAGAGAGAGAGAGAGGGCAAGAGCAAAGGGAAAAUAUCUAGUUUAAUAUUAUGUAAUUUAAACGAAAUUUUAUGAAUACGCUAGUUAUACUCAGAGUUAAAAUAAAUUUCCUUUUUCAUUUAUAAUAAUGAAAAUUUACAGCGAAAAUAAAACUGAAUGUCAAAACCAA
Drosophila arizonae is the source of this 198-nucleotide long non-coding RNA. The record is from RefSeq and is a predicted model, not a curated record. NCBI's taxonomy places the organism in Eukaryota, Metazoa, Arthropoda, Insecta, Diptera, Drosophilidae.